UCAUUCCAGUGUUUUGUACCUGUGGCACAUCUAAAAACUGUAGGUCUGCGGCCCUCGAGGACUGGAGUUUGAGACCCCUGAUCUAGCCAUUUAAGCAGGAAAUACUGAGCCGGCCCCUCCCAUACUCCUGCCCUGCUGCAGAUCUACAAGGGACAAACAAUGGUGUGGACCCCUCCCAAGCCUCUUUGAGGACAUCUAGUGGACCUCUGACAGUAUGACCAUACAAGAGUUGAAAAGGAGAAAACCCAGUAGAUUCUUGAGGUACCUCUCUAUAAGCAAAAAGCAGAAACGGUAACCACUGAUCCCAGUCUUUCCCUGAGUCUUUCACAAACUUCUUCAACAUGGACUUCAGAGUUCCAUAGAUGUUGGGUUCAGUUUGUGCUGUUUGUUUUUUAAUGGUUUCAUUUAAUUAAAACAAAAUUAUGUGAGUACCUUUGCAAAAAUUCCCACGUUUACUUUUAAUGUUUUUUCUUCCUUACAAAAUGAGGUUAGGAUAUUGGAUUUUUUUUUCCUCAAAUGGGAUGUGAAGAAAAACCCAGUUUGUUUAAUGUGUAGCGCCACCUGCUGGACGAGUUUGAUUUUUGUAUUUAAUAGAAAAUCUCUUCUGGUAUGAUCUUCUCUGUUAUCUUUACUUUGACUUCUUUUUGAGAUGGUGAAGAAUAACAACUGUAAAAUUUAUGAAUUCAUGUCAGAUUAAAAGCUAAAAAUUAACAUAAAAUUAAUAGUAAACAAUAACACUGUUUAACUACAAAUAUAGAUUAGAAAUAAAAAGAUAAGAUAAGAUUUAUUGUCAUUGUCAUCAACAGAUUAC
This is a long non-coding RNA of Xiphophorus hellerii (green swordtail), 811 nucleotides long. RefSeq lists it as uncharacterized. The record is from RefSeq and is a predicted model, not a curated record. NCBI's taxonomy places the organism in Eukaryota, Metazoa, Chordata, Actinopteri, Cyprinodontiformes, Poeciliidae. The transcript has 2 exons.